This 475-nucleotide ribosomal RNA is filed under the name uncultured bacterium. Its description in RNAcentral is "bacterial SSU rRNA". It matches the Rfam family "Bacterial small subunit ribosomal RNA", at positions 32 to 518 of the family's 1533-position model. The record is from RNAcentral.
AAUCAACGCUGGCGGCGUGCCUCAGACAUGCAAGUCGAACGAUUAAGACUCUCUUCGGAGAGUGCAUAAAGUGGCGCACGGGUGAGUAACACGUAAGUAAUCUACCCUCGAGUGGGGAAUAACGUCCGGAAACGGACGCUAAUACCGCAUAAUGCAGCGGCACCGCAAGGUGACAGUUGUUAAAGAUUUAUCGCUUGAGGAGGAGCUUGCGGCAGAUUAGCAGUUGGUAAGGUAAUGGCUUACCAAGGCUACGAUCUGUAACCGGUCUAAGAGGACGGUCGGUCACACUGACACUGAAUAACGGGUCAGACUCCUACGGGAGGCAGCAGUCGGGAAUUUUGGGCAAUGGGCGAAAGCCUGACCCAGCAACGCCGCGUGAAGGAUGAAGUAUUUCGGUAUGUAAACUUCGAAAGAAUGGGAAGAAUUAAUGACGGUACCAUUUAUAAGGUCCGGCUAACUACGUGCCAGCAGCCGC